GAUGAACGCUGGCGGCGUGCCUAAUACAUGCAAGUCGAGCGAACGGACGAGAAGCUUGCUUUUCUGAUGUUAGCGGCGGACGGGUGAGUAACACGUGGAUAACCUACCUAUAAGACUGGGAUAACUUCGGGAAACCGGAGCUAAUACCGGAUAAUAUUUUGAACCGCAUGGUUCAAAAGUGAAAGACGGUCUUGCUGUCACUUAUAGAUGGAUCCGCGCUGCAUUAGCUAGUUGGUAAGGUAACGGCUUACCAAGGCAACGAUGCAUAGCCGACCUGAGAGGGUGAUCGGCCACACUGGAACUGAGACACGGUCCAGACUCCUACGGGAGGCAGCAGUAGGGAACCUUCCGCAAUGGGCGAAAGCCUGACGGAGCAACGCCGCGUGAGUGAUGAAGGUCUUCGGAUCGUAAAACUCUGUUAUUAGGAAGAACAUAUGUGUAAGUAACUGUGCACAUCUUGACGGUACCUAAUCAGAAAGCCACGGCUAACUACGUG
This 496-nucleotide ribosomal RNA is filed under the name uncultured bacterium. Its description in RNAcentral is "partial 16S ribosomal RNA". It matches the Rfam family "Bacterial small subunit ribosomal RNA", at positions 28 to 507 of the family's 1533-position model. The record is from RNAcentral.